CGGACAGUUGUCGACGAACUACAAUUUAGAGGACCUCGAUGAUGAGUCGGUGGCGUACGUCAACAGACUCUUUGCUGAGAGGUACAAGCAAUGGAAGAGCGACCUGCACCACCAUUUUCAGUCAUUUGAUGAUCCGCAGGUCGCUCUUCAGGAAGGGUGGGAGGAUAGCUGGGCAUGGCUCUGUGGUCAUUUUUAGGAGUCUAUUAGAAGGCGGCGAAAGCAAAUAAGGGCAAUAGGAACAAGAAGACGCUUCUCCACCAUUCAGGUUCCAGGCCAUUCUCAUAUAGGAUGGAGGCGCGGC
Prunus dulcis (almond) is the source of this 301-nucleotide long non-coding RNA. RefSeq lists it as uncharacterized. The transcript is spliced from 3 exons. The record is from RefSeq and is a predicted model, not a curated record. NCBI's taxonomy places the organism in Eukaryota, Viridiplantae, Streptophyta, Magnoliopsida, Rosales, Rosaceae.